RNAcentral lists this ribosomal RNA (726 nucleotides) under Staphylococcus aureus. Its description in RNAcentral is "partial 23S ribosomal RNA". It matches the Rfam family "Bacterial large subunit ribosomal RNA", at positions 1473 to 2196 of the family's 2925-position model. The record is from RNAcentral. Lineage: Bacteria; Bacillati; Bacillota; Bacilli; Caryophanales; Staphylococcaceae.
CGCAGUAGGAUAGGCGAAGCGUGCGAUUGGAUUGCACGUCUAAGCAGUAAGGCUGAGUAUUAGGCAAAUCCGGUACUCGUUAAGGCUGAGCUGUGAUGGGGAGAAGACAUUGUGUCUUCGAGUCGUUGAUUUCACACUGCCGAGAAAAGCCUCUAGAUAGAAAAUAGGUGCCCGUACCGCAAACCGACACAGGUAGUCAAGAUGAGAAUUCUAAGGUGAGCGAGCGAACUCUCGUUAAGGAACUCGGCAAAAUGACCCCGUAACUUCGGGAGAAGGGGUGCUCUUUAGGGUUAACGCCCAGAAGAGCCGCAGUGAAUAGGCCCAAGCGACUGUUUAUCAAAAACACAGGUCUCUGCUAAACCGUAAGGUGAUGUAUAGGGGCUGACGCCUGCCCGGUGCUGGAAGGUUAAGAGGAGUGGUUAGCUUCUGCGAAGCUACGAAUCGAAGCCCCAGUAAACGGCGGCCGUAACUAUAACGGUCCUAAGGUAGCGAAAUUCCUUGUCGGGUAAGUUCCGACCCGCACGAAAGGCGUAACGAUUUGGGCACUGUCUCAACGAGAGACUCGGUGAAAUCAUAGUACCUGUGAAGAUGCAGGUUACCCGCGACAGGACGGAAAGACCCCGUGGAGCUUUACUGUAGCCUGAUAUUGAAAUUCGGCACAGCUUGUACAGGAUAGGUAGGAGCCUUUGAAACGUGAGCGCUAGCUUACGUGGAGGCGCUGGUGGG